UUUAGCAUAUGCCCCUUUCUUGGUCCCCACUUUCUUCUCCACCUCUUCAUUCCACCAUCAAUCCCCCCGAUGAUGCCCGGCCCGGCCCCUAGAAACACCCAACACCUCACUUUCAUUCUCCUUGAUGCACCUAGCCGCCCUAUCCCACAUACUAUCUACGUCCCCCCUACACUCCCGCACCCCCAUUCCCGCCAACUUCUCCCCUAUCUCCCAUGCAUUCACUGGCGUCAAGCCGCCCUACUUAAUUCAAGGUCUAUACUCCUUACUCCUCCUCUUUCUAUUCUUCUUUAUACCCAAAUCCAUAACCAAGAGCCUAUGCUGGGUCGAAAGAUUCUCA
Molecule: long non-coding RNA, 337 nt
Filed under: Capsicum annuum
Lineage: Eukaryota; Viridiplantae; Streptophyta; Magnoliopsida; Solanales; Solanaceae
Description: long non-coding RNA (CANN_LNC016563)
Source: RNAcentral